This 415-nucleotide ribosomal RNA is filed under the name uncultured Methanomassiliicoccus sp. Its description in RNAcentral is "bacterial SSU rRNA". It matches the Rfam family "Archaeal small subunit ribosomal RNA", at positions 330 to 747 of the family's 1478-position model. Lineage: Archaea; Methanobacteriati; Thermoplasmatota; Thermoplasmata; Methanomassiliicoccales; Methanomassiliicoccaceae. The record is from RNAcentral.
GUGCACCAGUCGAGAAAACUUCACAAUGGGGGAAACCCCGAUGAGGGAAUUCCAAGUGCCAGCACAUUGUGUUGGCUGUUCUCUGGUCUAAAAAACCGGAGAAGUAAGGGCCGGGUAAGACGGGUGCCAGCCGCCGCGGUAAUACCCGCGGCCCGAGUGGUGGUCGAUAUUAUUGAGCCUAAAACGUCCGUAGCCGGUUUUGUAAAUCCUUGGGUAAAUCGACCAGCUUAACUGUUCGAAGUCCGGGGAGACUGUAAGACUUGGGAUCGGGAGAGGUGAGAGGUACUUCUGGGGUAGGGGUAAAAUCCUGUAAUCCUAGAAGGACCACCGGUGGCGAAGGCGUCUCACUAGAACGAAUCCGACGGUGAGGGACGAAGCCCUGGGGCGCAAACGGGAUUAGAUACCCCGGUAGUCC